RNAcentral lists this ribosomal RNA (468 nucleotides) under uncultured bacterium. Its description in RNAcentral is "partial 16S ribosomal RNA". It matches the Rfam family "Bacterial small subunit ribosomal RNA", at positions 28 to 507 of the family's 1533-position model. The record is from RNAcentral.
GACGAACGCUGGCGGCGUGCUUAACACAUGCAAGUCGAACGGAAAGGCCCUGCUUUUGUGGGGUGCUCGAGUGGCGAACGGGUGAGUAACACGUGAGUAACCUGCCCUUGACUUUGGGAUAACUUCAGGAAACUGGGGCUAAUACCGGAUAGGAGCCCCUGCUGCAUGGGGGGGGUUGGAAAGUUUCGGCGGUUGGGGAUGGACUCGCGGCUUAUCAGCUUGUUGGUGGGGUAGUGGCUUACCAAGGCUUUGACGGGUAGCCGGCCUGAGAGGGUGACCGGCCACAUUGGGACUGAGAUACGGCCCAGACUCCUACGGGAGGCAGCAGUGGGGAAUAUUGCACAAUGGGCGGAAGCCUGAUGCAGCAACGCCGCGUGCGGGAUGACGGCCUUCGGGUUGUAAACCGCUUUCGCCUGUGACGAAGCGUGAGUGACGGUAAUGGGUAAAGAAGCACCGGCUAACUACGUG